GUUUUCUUGGCAGAUUAGUGCUAUAGAUUUAGAAUCUAUUUAUGUAAAAUUUUUUACAGAUAACA
This 65-nucleotide transfer RNA is filed under the name Dicerca corrugata. RNAcentral's name for it is "tRNA-Leu". Lineage: Eukaryota; Metazoa; Arthropoda; Insecta; Coleoptera; Buprestidae. The record is from RNAcentral.